UGCCACAGCCAUAUCACCCUGUAGCCCAAGACUGGUUGCCCACUGAAGCUAAGCAGGGUUGAGCAACUAGGUUGCUGCUGGAA
Ribosomal RNA from Sinocyclocheilus anshuiensis, 83 nucleotides. The record is from Ensembl. NCBI's taxonomy places the organism in Eukaryota, Metazoa, Chordata, Actinopteri, Cypriniformes, Cyprinidae.